CCCCAAUAGUUAGCCCCCCAGCUAGCUAGGAUCCGUGGACCUGGGUGUUAGGUCCUAGCUUACGGUAUGGUCUGUUCUAGGUGGAAUUAGACGUAAUCGUUUGUCGAAAGAUUGAAGGUGAAUAGUAAAAAUAAAUAAAUUGUAUAAGUAAGGGAAGUAAGUUAUUCAAAUUCUUUACUCACUUCUUCCCUUAAGAAAAGAUUCCUCCAAGAUAGAAAUUUUUUCUCCAAGACAUUCUCUUUGCUCAAAGAAAAUGUUUUCAAGAAAAGGAUCUUCAAAGAGGAAUUCUUCCUCACACUCAUCUUCGGGUGACUCUUCUGCCAAUGAGGUGAUCGCCCCGAAAGAAGAGUUUGAAGUUGAGGAAGAAGCAAAGGAUGCGUACUACAAAGCUCUUUGCGGCUCGCCUCUGCCUUCGCAAGACAUUCCGAUUCGUAAGAGGCCCGUGAGGUCGCCAAACGCAUCCUUCACGCCGAGCAUGGUCUCUGCCGACUACCUCACGACUCUCAGGGACUUUUACCAGAUUCCAAGUGGAGUCGUACUUCGGAUCCCGAGUGGCAACGAGAGUUCGAAGAACCCUCCGGAAGGUUUCUUUACUUGCUACGAGGCCUUCCUGGUGUAUUGCCGCAUGUGGUUUCCGAUCCCUGGUACCAUCGUCCGCGCGCUUCACCACUUUGGGCUUUCGAUCAGCCAGCUAAGCGUUCCGGCCUUGCAGCAUUGGCUCGGCGUGUUGAUCUCGAGUUACGAGCUAGGAAUGGAUCUUAACCCUGGUGACUUUGAGGGAUUUUGGUCUACGAGAGGAACGGGGAUCGAUGGCUCAUACCGCAUGGCGCCAAAGAAGGGCAUGGCUAUAAUUCAAGGGCACACUUCACAUCCUAAGACAUGGUUCGAGCGCUUUUUCUUUGUCUAGAUAGAUGGGAAGUCUGUCGAGGAGAGCUACCUCCACUUAUUCCGUCGGGAGUUGAACUUCACCCGUGGUAAUACGAAUAGCUAUGUUUUUCGUUUUGAUACCUUGAAAACAUACGAAGAUGAUUUUUUUUAUUAUCUUGCAGUGAACAGGAUCCUUCCGCCGACUCCUACCGAUCUUUUUGCCAAGCGCGAUCUUCUCCGCGGCAGGCCAUUCUUCUGGAAUUCCUUCACCGUUGAACGGAUUCAAAGCGCGGUGGAGCUCCAUCGAUCUCGAGCCGUCUCUCAGCCUCUUGACGUUCCGUAUGACAUAGAACCGGUCAUUGAUGUCUUGCCUGCUUAGAGGCAGAUAACCAGGUCUCGGAAAGGUAAGGGAGUUGCCUCUGAGAACGUCUUGGGAAACCCUCCGCUGCCAGAAAGGAACCCUAGUUUCUCCCCAGGGGAAAGGAGUGGAACCAGCGAGGUUCCCCCUCCCAGCAAAUUUUUUGCCGACCUCCCUCCCGUUUUACUACUCAUGAGUCACUGGACGAAGAGUCGAGGAGGAAAGUAGUCGCCGAAGGCUCCAGCUUAAUCAACGAGGGGAUGAGGGUGUUCAAUGCGGCGCUCGACGGAAGUUUCCGGGAGUCGCGUAUCUCUCACUUCAAAGCCGAGGAGGCUGAAAGAGAACUCAUUCGGUUUCGGAAGGAGGUCGAAGAACAGAGCCGGAGACAGGCUGAGCUCCAUUCUCGGGCCCUUGUCCGUGCGGAGAGGAGAGGAAAGAGAGCGAUUGUCGCCGAAAUGAAGCGGAGGGCUGCUUUGUUUGCCACCGAAUUCGAGAGCUUUAAGGAUGCUCAAGAAUUCAUGGGCGAUUUUCGUGAGUACCGUGGCUCGGUUGCUACCCUCUACAAGUCGCAGAACGAGGACUUCUCUUUUCCUUUCGAGGUCGCUGAGAUGUCGGGUCUUAUGAACGGGUGUGCCCAUGCCGAAUCCUUGGUUCCUCCGAUCGAAGGAAGGGUCCGACAGCUUUGGGAUUCCAUCGAGGUCUCGGAGGACAUGGUAGAAGCGGGAACCGGUGUUGGUGAUGAAGGUGCCGGAGUCGCGGACGGAGAGGUGGACCAGCCUGCGAGCUCGUUCGGGGUCUCCAUGUCUGGGUUCUUCGACUUUGAGCUUUGAGCAUUGUUGGGAUUAUUUCCCUUAGUUUUAUUUCGAGGUUUGAUGUAUCUAGGCCGAGUGUGGCCGUAUUUGAUUUAUGUGUGUUAUGGCCUUGCGAGGCUAUGUGAACUAUGUGUUUGAGACCGGCCGUUUGGUGGCUUUGGGUCCUAGCCGUUUUUUUGCGGCUUUUAUAUAUAUGAUGAAUGAUUGACAUUCUGUGCAUUUUAGUUUAUACUUCUGCCAAGUGUGAGGGAAAGAUACAAGUAGUCACUUCGUAUCUUAACUCUUAGUUUAUCGUCUUGUUCGUUUGCUCUUACUGAACGAGGGCGUUCGGAAACGUUUAGGAGUCUCGCGAAGUUUCAUGAGCGUAUUAGAUAUAGACGAUGGGACAUGUUUUUAAGAUCUCGUAUCAUGUCUUGAGAUGUUAGAGGACCAGUAGGACUGGGUUUAGGGAAAGACCUAGGUUUACUU
This is an RNA transcript of Brassica napus (rape), 2505 nucleotides long. RefSeq lists it as uncharacterized. Lineage: Eukaryota; Viridiplantae; Streptophyta; Magnoliopsida; Brassicales; Brassicaceae. The transcript is spliced from 2 exons. The record is from RefSeq and is a predicted model, not a curated record.